UGAUUGAUCACCUGAGGUGAGCCAUGAGUCAGCCAGAGGAGCACAGGUGAAGGCAAUUCAAUUCACCUGUACUGCCGGAAGGGGUGGAGCCAGGCUGCACCUCUCCUAAACCUAUUGAAGAGCUGGCUAUCAGCAGGGAAGGAUCUCUUCUGGAGAUUGCCUCUACUCGUGUUUUGUGGGUGAGCCCAGCAUAAGGGUCUCCCUGAUGGCAUUCACCAGGCUGCCUCCUGCCAUAGUUGUAUCCUGCUGGAAAGUAAAUCGAGGCACACAUUCAGAAAAUCAGGGCGUGGAUGUCACUUUUUCAUUGAAGUUUUUAGGCCACGCACACGAACAAUGAAUGUCACCAGGCGAUCCAGCUCUGGAGUAGCCCAUGCGUUUUGACUUGUUGCUGGAGCUCUCUAGACACAUCUGCUGCCAUGAGAUGCCUCAGCCAAGGAUUUUGAGCCAAGACAUGAGGGAAAUGGUUUAACCAGAUGUGUGCCCAUGUCUGCAAAACAGAAUUUUAAGAUGCUGAAAUUUAAAAGCUUGCCAUCAUCUCUCCUGCCUCCCAGCAGCAAGGGAAGACUGAAAUCACUGGGAAUGGAAUCCAGUUCAUCUUCUGGCUCUCCGAAUACAGCAACAACAUUUAUGGUCUGAUCUUCAACAGCUUCCUUUGAGCACUAGAAUUUCCAAGUGCAUGUUUUCAGAGCACAAGCAACCUCUUGUCUGUCAUCUCUUGUUUAAACCAAAAAAACUGAAAAGUCAACUGUGAAAAUAUAGGGGGGAAAAAAAAAAAAAAAAAGGCCUUUGACAUUGAAACAAAGCUUCUUUAACUUGCCUAAUACAAAACAAAGUGGAAUUGUAACAAUGAAUUGAGGAGAUGUGGAUGGUAAAAGCAAGGUACUGGCAUUGGAGGUAAGAUAAAACCAGAUCCCAGCGGAAAGCAGUUGGGGGAAGAAGUUUAACAAGUUUGCUUUAUGUG
This is a long non-coding RNA of Tympanuchus pallidicinctus (lesser prairie-chicken), 961 nucleotides long. RefSeq lists it as uncharacterized. The record is from RefSeq and is a predicted model, not a curated record. The transcript has 6 exons. Lineage: Eukaryota; Metazoa; Chordata; Aves; Galliformes; Phasianidae.